CCCUUAGAUGUCCUGGGCCGCACGCGCGCUACACUGACGAAGGCAACGAGCUACUCUUCACCGAAAGGUGUGGGUAAUCUUUUGAAACUUCGUCGUGCUGGGGAUAGAUCCUUGCAAUUUUUGAUCUUAAACGAGGAAUUCCUAGUAAGCGCAAGUCAUCAACUUGCGUUGAUUACGUCCCUGCCCUUUGUACACACCGCCCGUCGCUACUACCGAUUGAAUGGUUUAGUGAGGCCUUCGGAUCCGCGAUUUUAUUGUGGAGAAGUUGGACAAACUCAGUCAUUUAGAGGAAGUAAAAGUCGUAACA
RNAcentral lists this ribosomal RNA (307 nucleotides) under uncultured eukaryote. RNAcentral's name for it is "partial 18S ribosomal RNA". It matches the Rfam family "Eukaryotic small subunit ribosomal RNA", at positions 1470 to 1796 of the family's 1831-position model. The record is from RNAcentral.